UUGACGGGACCCGCACAAGCAGCGGAGCGUGUGGUUUAAUUCGAUGCUACACGAAGAACCUUACCUGGGUUUGACAUAUAAGUUGUAGGGAACUGAAAGGGACCGACCUUCGGGAGCUUAUACAGGUGUUGCAUGGCUGUCGUCAGCUCGUGUCGUGAGAUGUUCGGUUAAGUCCGCUAACGAGCGCAACCCUCGCCGUAUGUUACAAGUGUCAUACGGGACUGCCGGUAAAAGCCGGAGGAAGGUGAGGAUGAUGUCAAGUCAGCAUGACCUUUAUAUCCAGGGCUACACACACGCUACAGUGGUCUGUACAAUUGGUUGCCAAGCCGCGAGGCGGAGCCAAUCCGUAAAGCAGGCCUCAGUUCAGAUUGCAGUCUGCAACUCGACUGCAUGAAGCCGGAGUUGCUAGUAACCGCAGGUCAGCAAUACUGCGGUGAAUACGUUCCCGGGUCUU
RNAcentral lists this ribosomal RNA (454 nucleotides) under uncultured Anaerolineaceae bacterium. RNAcentral's name for it is "bacterial SSU rRNA". It matches the Rfam family "Bacterial small subunit ribosomal RNA", at positions 910 to 1382 of the family's 1533-position model. The record is from RNAcentral. Lineage: Bacteria; Bacillati; Chloroflexota; Anaerolineae; Anaerolineales; Anaerolineaceae.